Cricetulus griseus (Chinese hamster) is the source of this 1020-nucleotide non-coding RNA. The record is from RefSeq and is a predicted model, not a curated record. NCBI's taxonomy places the organism in Eukaryota, Metazoa, Chordata, Mammalia, Rodentia, Cricetidae.
CCCCCAUUCGUUGGCAAAUAGAAAUAAAAAAAAAUUAAAAUUGUGUGGUAACAAUACACCAUGCAAGUUUUCUCUCUACAAUAUAAAAUAAGAAUAAACAGUGUGGUGCUUAGAUGAGGUUGAGAAGGAAUUGCCAGCACAGGGACAGAGAGUCAGAGAGACCAUAGGGGUGGAGGGAAGCAGGUGCUCGGCAGCUAGCCCAGUCUCUCAUGCUUGGAGGGACUCUGGGUUAGCCUCUGCUAAGCAGGAGAUUUCACCAUUCUAUGGCUCCAAAGUUCUCCGGGUCAUGAUGUCUGCUGGAUGGGAGUUUCCACUGUUACCAUGUAAUUUACCAAACAUGUACAAAGUGUCUUGGUCAUAGAGCAAGCAAAAAUGAGCAACAAAUAGGCCAAAUAACAGCAUAUCAAGGUUCCAGGUCAUAAUCCCCAGUGCCUGCAAAGGCUGCCUUAAGACUGCAAAGGGAUUUUGUUUUUUGUUUUUUGUUUUUUUGUUUUUUGUUUUUUCAGACAAAAUGAAGAAUGUUAAAAUGAAGUGACCAUCUUGAAUCAUUAUCUGAGCAAGCCUGAAGUAACCAUCUAGCCCUUUGAUAUAAGGUCAGAGGAUGCUGUUGCUGGCUUUGAAGAUGGACAAGAGGACCACGAGCCAAAGAGCACAUGUCUGCAUGCUGGAAAAGCCUAAGAAAAGGACUCUUCCCUGGAGACUCCAGGGGGUGUGAGCCCUGCCACACCUUGAUUCUAAACACUGCUGCCCAAGAUCCAUUUCACCCUUCAGAACUGAGGGGCAAAGGACUGCCUCUGAUAGACAGGGACAGGUGGGGCACGAAAACGGCAGUUUAUAAAGGUUGUAUUUGUGGGUGUUUAUUCAUCCUGCUGAGGAGACAUAAACAGAGAAGUCUAUUCAGCCCAGAUAGAGCACCAAUGCCAAACCAAAGCACUUGCUCUCAACCUUCCCAAUACUUGGGGUCCUUCAGUACAGUUCCUCAUGCUAUGACCCCCCAACCAUAAAAUUAUUUUGUUGCUA